UCUGCUUUACUCUAUCGGUAAAAAGGUACGCCGGGGAUAACAGGUCGUAGAAUUGAAGGAGUUCUAAUCCUUUUAUUCUAUUAACACCUCCAUGUCGGCUCAUCACACCCU
RNAcentral lists this ribosomal RNA (111 nucleotides) under Choleoeimeria sp. JRB-2016. RNAcentral's name for it is "large subunit ribosomal RNA". Lineage: Eukaryota; Apicomplexa; Conoidasida; Eucoccidiorida; Eimeriidae. The record is from RNAcentral.